GUCUUUUCAUAUAUAAUUACCUUGGUCUUGUAAACCAAAAAUGGAGAAUAACCCUCCCUAAGACU
RNAcentral lists this transfer RNA (65 nucleotides) under Spilogale gracilis (western spotted skunk). RNAcentral describes it as "tRNA-Thr". Lineage: Eukaryota; Metazoa; Chordata; Mammalia; Carnivora; Mephitidae. The record is from RNAcentral.